RNAcentral lists this ribosomal RNA (2789 nucleotides) under Escherichia coli. RNAcentral's name for it is "bacterial LSU rRNA". It matches the Rfam family "Bacterial large subunit ribosomal RNA". The record is from RNAcentral. Lineage: Bacteria; Pseudomonadati; Pseudomonadota; Gammaproteobacteria; Enterobacterales; Enterobacteriaceae.
AGCGUACACGGUGGAUGCCCUGGCAGUCAGAGGCGAUGAAGGACGUGCUAAUCUGCGAUAAGCGUCGGUAAGGUGAUAUGAACCGUUAUAACCGGCGAUUUCCGAAUGGGGAAACCCAGUGUGAUUCGUCACACUAUCAUUAACUGAAUCCAUAGGUUAAUGAGGCGAACCGGGGGAACUGAAACAUCUAAGUACCCCGAGGAAAAGAAAUCAACCGAGAUUCCCCCAGUAGCGGCGAGCGAACGGGGAGCAGCCCAGAGCCUGAAUCAGUAUGUGUGUUAGUGGAAGCGUCUGGAAAGGCGCGCGAUACAGGGUGACAGCCCCGUACACAAAAAUGCACAUGCUGUGAGCUCGAUGAGUAGGGCGGGACACGUGGUAUCCUGUCUGAAUAUGGGGGGACCAUCCUCCAAGGCUAAAUACUCCUGACUGACCGAUAGUGAACCAGUACCGUGAGGGAAAGGCGAAAAGAACCCCGGCGAGGGGAGUGAAAAAGAACCUGAAACCGUGUACGUACAAGCAGUGGGAGCACAGAGCAAUCUGUGUGACUGCGUACCUUUUGUAUAAUGGGUCAGCGACUUAUAUUCUGUAGCAAGGUUAACCGAAUAGGGGAGCCGAAGGGAAACCGAGUCUUAACUGGGCGUUAAGUUGCAGGGUAUAGACCCGAAACCCGGUGAUCUAGCCAUGGGCAGGUUGAAGGUUGGGUAACACUAACUGGAGGACCGAACCGACUAAUGUUGAAAAAUUAGCGGAUGACUUGUGGCUGGGGGUGAAAGGCCAAUCAAACCGGGAGAUAGCUGGUUCUCCCCGAAAGCUAUUUAGGUAGCGCCUCGUGAAUUCAUCUCCGGGGGUAGAGCACUGUUUCGGCAAGGGGGUCAUCCCGACUUACCAACCCGAUGCAAACUGCGAAUACCGGAGAAUGUUAUCACGGGAGACACACGGCGGGUGCUAACGUCCGUCGUGAAGAGGGAAACAACCCAGACCGCCAGCUAAGGUCCCAAAGUCAUGGUUAAGUGGGAAACGAUGUGGGAAGGCCCAGACAGCCAGGAUGUUGGCUUAGAAGCAGCCAUCAUUUAAAGAAAGCGUAAUAGCUCACUGGUCGAGUCGGCCUGCGCGGAAGAUGUAACGGGGCUAAACCAUGCACCGAAGCUGCGGCAGCGACGCUGAUGCGUUGUUGGGUAGGGGAGCGUUCUGUAAGCCUGUGAAGGUGUGCUGUGAGGCAUGCUGGAGGUAUCAGAAGUGCGAAUGCUGACAUAAGUAACGAUAAAGCGGGUGAAAAGCCCGCUCGCCGGAAGACCAAGGGUUCCUGUCCAACGUUAAUCGGGGCAGGGUGAGUCGACCCCUAAGGCGAGGCCGAAAGGCGUAGUCGAUGGGAAACAGGUUAAUAUUCCUGUACUUGGUGUUACUGCGAAGGGGGGACGGAGAAGGCUAUGUUGGCCGGGCGACGGUUGUCCCGGUUUAAGCGUGUAGGCUGGUUUUCCAGGCAAAUCCGGAAAACUAAGGCUGAGGCGUGAUGACGAGGCACUACGGUGCUGAAGCAACAAAUGCCCUGCUUCCAGGAAAAGCCUCUAAGCAUCAGGUAACAUCAAAUCGUACCCCAAACCGACACAGGUGGUCAGGUAGAGAAUACCAAGGCGCUUGAGAGAACUCGGGUGAAGGAACUAGGCAAAAUGGUGCCGUAACUUCGGGAGAAGGCACGCUGAUAUGUAGGUGAAGUCCCUCGCGGAUGGAGCUGAAAUCAGUCGAAGAUACCAGCUGGCUGCAACUGUUUAUUAAAAACACAGCACUGUGCAAACACGAAAGUGGACGUAUACGGUGUGACGCCUGCCCGGUGCCGGAAGGUUAAUUGAUGGGGUCAGCGCAAGCGAAGCUCUUGAUCGAAGCCCCGGUAAACGGCGGCCGUAACUAUAACGGUCCUAAGGUAGCGAAAUUCCUUGUCGGGUAAGUUCCGACCUGCACGAAUGGCGUAAUGAUGGCCAGGCUGUCUCCACCCGAGACUCAGUGAAAUUGAACUCGCUGUGAAGAUGCAGUGUACCCGCGGCAAGACGGAAAGACCCCGUGAACCUUUACUAUAGCUUGACACUGAACAUUGAGCCUUGAUGUGUAGGAUAGGUGGGAGGCUUUGAAGUGUGGACGCCAGUCUGCAUGGAGCCGACCUUGAAAUACCACCCUUUAAUGUUUGAUGUUCUAACGUUGACCCGUAAUCCGGGUUGCGGACAGUGUCUGGUGGGUAGUUUGACUGGGGCGGUCUCCUCCUAAAGAGUAACGGAGGAGCACGAAGGUUGGCUAAUCCUGGUCGGACAUCAGGAGGUUAGUGCAAUGGCAUAAGCCAGCUUGACUGCGAGCGUGACGGCGCGAGCAGGUGCGAAAGCAGGUCAUAGUGAUCCGGUGGUUCUGAAUGGAAGGGCCAUCGCUCAACGGAUAAAAGGUACUCCGGGGAUAACAGGCUGAUACCGCCCAAGAGUUCAUAUCGACGGCGGUGUUUGGCACCUCGAUGUCGGCUCAUCACAUCCUGGGGCUGAAGUAGGUCCCAAGGGUAUGGCUGUUCGCCAUUUAAAGUGGUACGCGAGCUGGGUUUAGAACGUCGUGAGACAGUUCGGUCCCUAUCUGCCGUGGGCGCUGGAGAACUGAGGGGGGCUGCUCCUAGUACGAGAGGACCGGAGUGGACGCAUCACUGGUGUUCGGGUUGUCAUGCCAAUGGCACUGCCCGGUAGCUAAAUGCGGAAGAGAUAAGUGCUGAAAGCAUCUAAGCACGAAACUUGCCCCGAGAUGAGUUCUCCCUGACUCCUUGA